GACGAACGCUGGCGGCGUGCUUAACACAUGCAAGUCGUACGGUAAGGCCCUUUCGGGGGUACACGAGUGGCGAACGGGUGAGUAACACGUGAGUAACCUGCCCACAACUUUGGGAUAACGCUAGGAAACUGGUGCUAAUACUGGAUAUGUGCUCCUGCUGCAGGGUGGGGGUUGGAAAGCUCCGGCGGUUGUGGAUGGACUCGCGGCCUAUCAGCUUGUUGGUGGGGUAGUGGCCUACCAAGGCGGCGACGGGUAGCCGGCCUGAGAGGGUGACCGGCCACAUUGGGACUGAGAUACGGCCCAGACUCCUACGGGAGGCAGCAGUGGGGAAUAUUGCACAAUGGGCGCAAGCCUGAUGCAGCAACGCCGCGUGCGGGAUGACGGCCUUCGGGUUGUAAACCGCUUUCAGCAGGGACGAAGCUUUUUGUGACGGUACCUGCAGAAGAAGCACCGGCGAACUACGU
RNAcentral lists this ribosomal RNA (464 nucleotides) under uncultured bacterium. RNAcentral describes it as "partial 16S ribosomal RNA". It matches the Rfam family "Bacterial small subunit ribosomal RNA", at positions 28 to 506 of the family's 1533-position model. The record is from RNAcentral.